Molecule: ribosomal RNA, 497 nt
Filed under: uncultured bacterium
Lineage: Bacteria
Description: partial 16S ribosomal RNA
Rfam family: Bacterial small subunit ribosomal RNA
Source: RNAcentral
GAUGAACGCUGGCGGCGUGCCUAAUACAUGCAAGUCGAGCGAGCGGACGAGAAGCUUGCUUCUCUGAUGUUAGCGGCGGACGGGUGAGUAACACGUGGAUAACCUACCUAUAAGACUGGGAUAACUUCGGGAAACCGGAGCUAAUACCGGAUAAUAUUUUGAACCGCAUGGUUCAAAAGUGAAAGACGGUCUUGCUGUCACUUAUAGAUGGAUCCGCGCUGCAUUAGCUAGUUGGUAAGGUAACGGCUUACCAAGGCAACGAUGCAUAGCCGACCUGAGAGGGUGAUCGGCCACACUGGAACUGAGACACGGUCCAGACUCCUACGGGAGGCAGCAGUAGGGAAUCUUCCGCAGUGGGCGAAAGCCUGACGGAGCAACGCCGCGUGAGUGAUGAAGGUCUUCGGAUCGUAAAACUCUGUUAUUAGGGAAGAACAUAUGUGUAAGUAACUGUGCACAUCUUGACGGUACCUAAUCAGAAAGCCACGGCUAACUACGUG